This 253-nucleotide ribosomal RNA is filed under the name uncultured bacterium. RNAcentral's name for it is "partial 16S ribosomal RNA". It matches the Rfam family "Bacterial small subunit ribosomal RNA", at positions 524 to 776 of the family's 1533-position model. The record is from RNAcentral.
UACGUAGGGUCCGAGCGUUGUCCGGAAUUACUGGGCGUAAAGAGCUCGUAGGUGGUUUGUCGCGUUGUCCGUGAAAACUCACAGCUCAACUGUGGGCGUGCGGGCGAUACGGGCAGACUGGAGUACUGCAGGGGAGACUGGAAUUCCUGGUGUAGCGGUGGAAUGCGUAGAUAUUAGGAGGAACACCGGUGGCGAAGGCGGGUCUCUGGGCAGUAACUGACGCUGAGGAGCGAAAGCGUGGGGAGCGAACAGG